This 2050-nucleotide long non-coding RNA is filed under the name Arabidopsis thaliana (thale cress). RNAcentral describes it as "potential natural antisense gene, locus overlaps with AT2G44260 (AT2G44255)". Lineage: Eukaryota; Viridiplantae; Streptophyta; Magnoliopsida; Brassicales; Brassicaceae. The record is from RNAcentral.
GCCACACAAUGUUUAUUUAUUUACAUAUAAAACAUAAUAGUUUUACAUUAAGGUCUAUGAAGAAUUUUAUAUACAAAGAAUCAAACCAAACAAACAAUCUAAAAGAAAAACCAACAUUUCAUCAACUUUCAUCACCAGCCCAAUUACUCUUGAGUUUAGGCCCAGUAGGCCCAUCUUCACCAUAAACUUCAUCAGGAAUCUUCUUCACAAAUUUAACAAAAGCCUUUUUCAAAAGCCCAGGCAAUAUCCUCUCCACACUCUUAACUUCAUCAUCAACAUUAUAAUCAAUCUUCGGCCCCCACUUCCUGAAAUACUUAACCCACGGCGGCUCCACCACUCCUCCGCCGUCAUACUCCGCCGCAAUCACCUCAUACCCUAACCCCGUAUCAAGCACCUUCUUACCUUUCCCCGUAUCAUUCCUAAUCCCAACCCCAUCGUCUCCUUGCAACACCAACCCAGGUUUCGGAUACAUCGCGUGUCCAUGUAGCGAUGCGUACGCCACAAACUUGUUAUUUCCUCCGUCUUGGAACUCCAAAUCGCAAGCAUCGAUCCAAAUUCCACCACUAUGCUGCGAUAAGAACACUCUCCAAAGCUCUCCGGUGAAAUUACUGAUCCGUAGCGUCGUGUGUUCCCAAUCUCCAAUGUGUUCUCCGAUUCUACCCAACGGUAGAUUUACGAAUUUGACCUUGGCUUUUGCUGGUCCAUUGAAAGGGUAAAAUAUCCAGAUUGAUAUAUCUGUGAAUGUUGCUCCGAGCAUUGGUUUGAUAUGAAGGUACACUUUUGUGCUUUGUAAGUCUCCUUUUUUGACUCUCUCUUUACCAUUUUUGUCUAUAGGAAGAUCUAGCCAGUAUGAUCCAUCGUUUGAUCCUCCUUGUGGAAGAUUAGAACCGUUUGAUUCGAUAGGGAUUGGUUUCGAUUCUUCGCCUUUCUUGUAUAGUAAUGCUCCGUUGUUGAAGUACCAAGUGACAGAGGAAGGUAGAUAUUCUUCGUCUGGAUGGAAAUAGAUACAUGGAGAAAAAGUUUGGAACAAUUCUUCGAUUUGGGACCCAUUUGGCAUUGUAGAGAAGUCGAGUUUCGUGUUCUUUAAGCAAGAUAAUGAUGGAGGCGAGGAGUUUUGGGUUUGCCAUGUAAAUGUACCUACAUAGACUCCUGUAGCUUGUGUUCCUCUUGUGGUUGGUUUUAGAUUUGAGAUGUUGACUCCGUUUGUGCCCCAUAUCCAUGUAUCAGCUUCACAUUGUUCGGUUAAAUCUGAUCGGAUGCAGCGUAGUUUGUCUAGAGGUGGUUUUUGUGAGUAGUUUGUGACUAUUAGGCCAACGGCUUGAUAUCCAUCAGGAGGAACGGGUUGCCAGAAGUAUCCGGUUCCGUCUUGUUUAAUUUUGAGUGACUCGGUGUUUCCUACGAGGGUGUAAUCUACUGGUGGUUUUAAGGUGUUGCUUGAGAGAUCUCUAGCUGUGAGUACCCAACCGAAAAGAUUACGGUUGUUUGGUUGAGCGUAGUAGCCAAGGAUGGAGAAACCGGAAGGGAUUGAGGAUGGUUCAAAGAAUGUAGCUCCGAGAUUGUCUGGUCCUCCUUCAUAAGUGGACCAAACUUUGUUGAAUGUCGAAACUUGACUAACUUCGAGACCACCUCCUAAGUCAAUGGUUCCUUUCGCAAAACCAUCACCUGAUGAUGCAAGUGAAAUCAAGAUUAUCAAAACUAAUUGGGAGACAGAGAGAGAGAGAGAGAUCAGUAAGAACCGAUGAUAAUACAAACCUCGAGUAAAAGUAGGUAACGGUGAAGGAAACUUGAAUGCAGCAUCGACGGGAAGUGCUUUGGGAAGCUUCUUUGAUACAUCUUCAUGAGAUGGAUCAGAGGUUGAAAGGCAGUUUCCCAUUUUUGGGAUAGCGGAACAUAAACAGGAAGAUUGAUAUUUAAACAGAGGAAACUUGUUUGUUUUUUUCGUUUUUUGUUAAAACAGAGGAAACUUGUAGUCAUGGGUUAUAUAGAAAUGCAGUAUCUUGGUGUCAAUUACUUUACUCAUCAAGAAUAUAGAAAUAAGAAAGAGAGGAUA